GGGGGCGACCUGGCUUCGACGCGGGUUGCGAAACCGGAGGUGCAUGCCGAGAAGGAGAUCUCUCGUAAAUAAGACUCAGUAAAUAUAAAUGCAAACGAUGAAAACUUUGCUGGUGAAGCUAUCGCUGCGUAAGCUUUGAUAGUGUAAACCAACCGUGUGCUGCCAAAAAACCAGCACCCCGUUCGACCGAGCCCGCUUAUCGGUAUCGAAUCAACGGUCAUAAGAGAUAAGCUAGCAAUCCCGCCCGUCUCGAGCGUGCUUGCGAAAUUCAGAGAAUCGCUGUGUCUAAUCCUGCCUGUCGGAGGAGCCACAGCUAAAACCAAUCGACAAGGCUAAGCAUGUAGAACUAAAGGCAGAGGAUUUGCGGACGCGGGUUCGAUUCCCGCCGCCUCCACCA
RNAcentral lists this transfer-messenger RNA (397 nucleotides) under Legionellaceae. RNAcentral describes it as "Legionella_C quinlivanii Standard tmRNA". It matches the Rfam family "transfer-messenger RNA". Rfam says of the family: Bacterial tmRNA, also known as 10Sa RNA or SsrA, is named for its dual tRNA and mRNA-like properties. RNAcentral also lists the same sequence under 2 other names. Lineage: Bacteria; Pseudomonadati; Pseudomonadota; Gammaproteobacteria; Legionellales. The record is from RNAcentral.